GGUGUCCCGUUUAUAAAAUUGGCAAAAGCACCAUCUGUCUCGGGCUGCUGUGCUUAAAGCAGCCACCCACAUCCAAUAAUCAACCAAGUUCUCUUUCCUCUCCUGAUACUUCCUCCAUUCCACUAAGCUGCAUAUUGUUCUGAGUCUCAAAUGAGACAGCAGUAGAUAGAAGAUCCCACAAGUUUCCUUGCUCUUUUCCUCCCUCCCUCACAUACACACACUAACAGUGCCUUAGAUGUUCAGUAAGUUUUAUUGAUUAGAGGUGGACUCAUUUUGA
This 277-nucleotide long non-coding RNA is filed under the name Bos taurus (domestic cattle). RNAcentral's name for it is "long non-coding RNA NONBTAT024731". The record is from RNAcentral. Lineage: Eukaryota; Metazoa; Chordata; Mammalia; Artiodactyla; Bovidae.